UACGUAGGGUGCUAGCGUUGUCCGGAGUUACUGGGCGUAAAGCGCACGCAGGCGGUCUGCUAAGUUUGGAGUGACAGUUGGUGGCUUAACUGCCAAAGUGCUUCGAAAACUGACAGACUUGAGGGCUUCAGAGGGACACGGAAUUCCGGGUGGAGUGGUGAAAUGCGUAGAGAUCCGGAGGAACACCAAAGGCGAAGGCAGUGUCCUGGGGAGUACCUGACGCUCAGGUGCGAAAGCCAGGGGAGCGAACGGG
Molecule: ribosomal RNA, 253 nt
Filed under: uncultured bacterium
Lineage: Bacteria
Description: partial 16S ribosomal RNA
Rfam family: Bacterial small subunit ribosomal RNA
Source: RNAcentral